UNGUUGCUCUGACUUCAAGUCAUGGCCUUCU
This 31-nucleotide non-coding RNA is filed under the name Rattus norvegicus (Norway rat). The record is from RNAcentral. Lineage: Eukaryota; Metazoa; Chordata; Mammalia; Rodentia; Muridae.